RNAcentral lists this ribosomal RNA (464 nucleotides) under uncultured bacterium. Its description in RNAcentral is "partial 16S ribosomal RNA". It matches the Rfam family "Bacterial small subunit ribosomal RNA", at positions 339 to 795 of the family's 1533-position model. The record is from RNAcentral.
CUACGGGCUGCUGCAGUGAGGAAUUUUGCGCAAUGGGGGAAACCCUGACGCAGCAACGCCGCGUGAGUGAAGAAGGCUUUCGGGUCGUAAAGCUCUGUCAGAUAGGAAAAAAGUUCAUAUGUAGAUAGCUUAUGAAUCUGAUGGUACUAUCAGAGGAAGCACCGGCUAAGUCCGUGCCAGCAGCCGCGGUAAUACGGAGGGUGCAAGCGUUGUUCGGAAUUACUGGGCGUAAAGGGCGUGUAGGCGGUAUGGUAAGUCAGAUGUGAAAGCCCUGGGCUUAACUCAGGAAGUGCAUUUGAUACUGCCAUCCUUGAGUAUGGGAGAGGAGAGUAGAAUUCCCAGUGUAGAGGUGAAAUUCGUAGACAUUGGGAGGAAUACCCGUGGCGAAGGCGACUCUCUGGACCAAUACUGACGCUGAGACGCGAAAGCGUGGGGAGCAAACAGGAUUAGAUACCCCUGUAGUC